UACGUAGGGUGCGAGCGUUGUCCGGAAUUAUUGGGCGUAAAGAGCUCGUAGGCGGUUUGUCACGUCUGCUGUGAAAUCCCGAGGCUCAACCUCGGGCCUGCAGUGGGUACGGGCAGGCUGGAGUGUGGUAGGGGAGAUCGGAAUUCCUGGUGUAGCGGUGAAAUGUGUAGAGAUCGGGAGGAACACCGGUGGCGAAGGCGGGUCUCUGGGCAAUUCCUGACGCUGAGGCGCGAAAGCGUGGGGAGCAAACGGG
Molecule: ribosomal RNA, 253 nt
Filed under: uncultured bacterium
Lineage: Bacteria
Description: partial 16S ribosomal RNA
Rfam family: Bacterial small subunit ribosomal RNA
Source: RNAcentral